AUUGCCUACCUCCCUCUCGCAUGCCUUCCGCCCUCGCUUUAUCUGAAUUGCUUGCUUAUACGUGCCUCACUGCCUCCUCGCUCGCCUGUUCCCGGGAAAUGUUGAGGUCUGGGCUGCUGGUAUUUACCUUCGUCACUUUCCCAGAAGCUUGCUGUUUACUCUGUUUACAGGCAUCAACGGAAAGCAACACGACAAAGGACUCAAGGUGUGGUAAAAUCAGCGUCUGUUGAGCGUGGCCGAGACGAUGCCUGAGCGAGGAAGGAAGGGAAGGAAAGCGAGUCGUAAUGAGAUAGGGAAGAACGGACCGAGGAGAAUGGCAAGGCAACUCGAGGUGUGGCGAUGUCAGGCCGGCGAGAAGGUUUGCUGAUGGUGUGGCAAAAAUAAUCGAGACUGUAAAACCUCGAGGAAUGAAGGCAGUGUCUCGCCAAAGCAUUUCCACCCUCCUGUUUGAAGCCACAAGACCUUAUUUGACCACGCUAUGCUACCUCAGUGCCACAAUACGCCACUUCAUCGCUUCGCCACACCACUCUCAGCGCCACACCACGCCACGCCACGCCACGCCAUCUCGUCGUUCUUGUGGUGAGUGUUGCUUUGAAUUUGUUGAGGCGUCGUGGCUUUCAGGCUAAGGUUAAGUCGACGGCUCAGUGUAUUAAUUUUCAGUGAGGGUGAAAGUUGUUGUUGUUUUGGCGGCAGCAGGAGGUUAUGAGGUGGCUGCUGCAAUGUUGUUAUUAUUUUAUUAUUUAUCUUCCUCAUCUUCGUAUUCCUCCUCGUCGUCAUCGUCUUCGUCAUCGUCUUCGUCUCCGUCUUCGUCUUCUUUUCCUUCUUCCACUUCUUUUUGUUUGACUAUAUGGUUUACUAAUAUACACUGAUCUUAAUAGAGAAAUUUAUUGUGCGAAUCAAAGGUUAGGAGUCAAUGUUCGCCGGCCUCGUUUUUCAUGACAACUUCCAGUCUAUUUACUAAUGUAGAAACGACUGCCAACUUAAAAGCCAUGACCACGCUUUCCGGAUUAAUCAUUUCGAAAUUAAUACCCGAAUGAAAAGUGUGUGUGUGUGUGUGUGUGUGUGUGUGUGUGUGUGUGUGUGUGUGUGUGUGUGUGUGUGUGUGUGUGUGUGUGUGUGUGUGUGUGUGUGUGUGUGUGAUCCCCAGCAACAACAAUAGUCUCCGGGAGAUAAUAAAUCGCUGCGAUCACUGAAACAAAACAUAAAAAUGACAACGUGUAAAUAAUGUAAAAUGUACUCAUGAUUGACGCGGUGGGAUUUGCUGGAACACAUUAAAUUACAUUACAGGAAUGUUUUGCCAGCGGAUGUUGGUUACAAAACAACUUGAUUGAAAUUACCGAACCUUACACCACGCGAGAAAGGCGGGUGUUAGUCCAUCAACAUAGCAAAAUUAAGAAUAAAAAAAUCCAUCCCAGAUAAAAUUACAUCGCUAUAUUCAGUUCCUGUUUUAUGCCCACGCCACUUCGAUUCGAGUUAUUAUUAGCUUCAUUAACCGCGUGCUGGGGGGUAUUUGUUGAUGUCGGUGCACCUUAAUAUGUGUUGAGCAAAGGUCGCGUCCUGAUUCGUAUCGCUUUUCCAAGAACUCCUACUGUCUAUAUUAUUAUGGUUAUUUGUAUUAUGAGCUAUGCGUUGUAUCUAUUAUCAUGUGCAUCAUUUUAAUUAACAGAAUCACAGAGCAAACAUAAAGCAAACUCCUUUCCCAAGACCCGUUCACUAGACAUUAUUAGUAAUCAAGAUAGUGUUUCUUUUAAAUCAAGUCACCGUCAGGAGUAUUAGUGGUGUUGAGUGUGAAGGGCGCUCUCUGCAUUGCCACUAAGGACAUGGUAAGUAUUGCGCGCUCUUAAAUAUAUCGCCAUGAGAGGCCGGGGCAGUACAGGGAGCUCUUUACCGUGACGACAACUCCAUGCGAGCCCAGUGGAGUGCAGGGCGGUACGCAGGCUGGCCCACAACGAUUUAUGUGCCUUGUGCAUCCGUGGCCCGUGUGUUCCCGGCGCCGCGGAGCACAAGCACCGCCGGCUGGGUGUAUACGGGUCCUGGGGCGCCGUGCUCGACCGUUUAAUUUCACGGGCGAUGAAAUAUUGCCGGCUCUGUAUAUUUCCCAGCUUUACGGAAUGGAACGUGAAGCCUCCAGCGGCACGUAAAAUUUUCGAGGAGACUGAAUAUUUUAUCAUAAGGCUGCACAAAUAAUGUACUUACACACACGGCGGGACAGUGUUUGCCCGGGAGAGGAGGAGUGGACGGGAGGGCGUGGAGUGUUGUGAGCGCCGAACACCCUCGUUGAGUUGCAUCCAGGUACGCAACAGCCACGGCCUCGCGCGCAACACACCGGCAACACACACGGCCCGGAGCGCGGCGGUUUAUUUAGUUUGCAGCGUCCAAUGUAUAAAUAAAAAUGUUGCUCGUACGAAAUGAACGACAAUAUUUCCGGCAUUUUUACUUUCGCGUGCAGCAUGAAUAAAUUUUCAAUAUUCCUCCGUUUGCGCAGUGUAUGAUGGUCCACUAAAUUUUUGAAGCAUUGUGAAAGAUUAUUACGUUGAAGUGGAGGGAGGGAGGAAGGGAAGGGAGAUAAGGGACGGGAGAGUGAGGCCUGGAGAGAGGGAGUGUGUGAAAUGAAGUGGAAGGGAA
Molecule: long non-coding RNA, 2625 nt
Organism: Eriocheir sinensis (Chinese mitten crab)
Lineage: Eukaryota; Metazoa; Arthropoda; Malacostraca; Decapoda; Varunidae
Exons: 3
Source: RefSeq, a predicted model, not a curated record